GUACCCAUAGUUUAACGGAUAAAACAGCUGAUUCCGGUUCAGCCGAUGGGGGUUCGAUUCCUCUUGGGUACGCUA
Molecule: transfer RNA, 75 nt
Filed under: Firmicutes bacterium CAG:194
Lineage: Bacteria; Bacillati; Bacillota
Also listed under: 2 other names
Description: transfer RNA-Arg(CCG)
Rfam family: tRNA
About the family: Transfer RNA (tRNA) molecules are approximately 80 nucleotides in length.
Source: RNAcentral